AGUAACACGUGGAUAACCUACCUAUAAGACUGGGAUAACUUCGGGAAACCGGAGCUAAUACCGGAUAAUAUUUUGAACCGCAUGGUUCAAAAGUGAAAGACGGUCUUGCUGUCACUUAUAGAUGGAUCCGCGCUGCAUUAGCUAGUUGGUAAGGUAACGGCUUACCAAGGCAACGAUGCAUAGCCGACCUGAGAGGGUGAUCGGCCACACUGGAGCUGAGACACGGUCAAG
RNAcentral lists this ribosomal RNA (231 nucleotides) under uncultured Staphylococcus sp. RNAcentral's name for it is "partial 16S ribosomal RNA". It matches the Rfam family "Bacterial small subunit ribosomal RNA", at positions 109 to 334 of the family's 1533-position model. Lineage: Bacteria; Bacillati; Bacillota; Bacilli; Caryophanales; Staphylococcaceae. The record is from RNAcentral.